UUCUCAGCUUCACAUUCCGUUUUCUCCCUCUGCUGGCAGUCAGAGACAGAGAAGUUGUAGCUAAUAGAAAACAACAAAACUCUCCAAAGGCUGAAGCAUUCACGAAUCUCAGAACUCUGCGGUACAUGCUGAGAAAUUAGGUCGUACCAUACUUGAGUCCAAUUAGUGCUGGAAAUGGCUGACAGUCAUCCUCUGUACAGAGCAGAGUAAUUCCUGGAGAAGAUCAGCACAGCUAAAGGCAGUCCUUCCUUUCGAGAGGCAGCGGACGGUCUCGUGUGUUCAUGUUACAGCACAUAUGGGCUGCACAAUCAAACUUGGAAGUCACCUAUUUUUACUUUUUUUUUUAAAGCGCAACUUCAGCUGUCUUCCCAAACCUGGAACAUCUCAAUGGGUGGCGUUUCUUCAGCACAGGAUUUCCUGCCACAUGCAAUUGCUCUGCGGAGAUGAGCAGAGAUGCUUCUCAGUUGCCCUAGAGCUGCACAGUAUCUUCUAUUCAUUUGUUAUCUCUCUGCCAGGGUGGGCACCAAAGCAGAGGUCCAGCUCCUUCAUUUUAUCAACUUCCCUGCACACAGAAAGAGACUUGCUGUGGCCUCAGCUUGCCCACAACAACACAGGCUGGGAGUUUGUAGAGAUGAUGUGUCUGCUGGCUUCAGUGAUGUUCCCCUUUCACGGCAGAAAACAAAGCCUAGUUGUUCAGCAGAGCCAGCGUGAGCUCAGAAAACUGAACAGGGAGAAAAUCUGAACUUUUAAGUCAAUGUCAUAUGUCUAAAUUCAGCUUCUUCCUGAAUCAUCUAUUUACCUGUUACUGUCCUCAAUUCGCUUCUGUACUUCUUGUGGAGCGUGUUGCAACAGACAGACUGAGUCGUUUUCUGUCUUAAUCAAGCUGCAUGUGGAAAUGGUGUGCUAAAUAGGCUCUGAAGUUUGUCUCUAAUUUGUGUUUAGCUGUUAGGAGUGGUUACUACUGCCAUCCCCAAAAUGUUUCUAUUGCAAUCAGCACCAAUUUCUUCCGUGUGCUAGAAAAUGCAUGCUGCAAAUAGUGAGAUCUGAACAGUGAAGUAGUAGGACCAGUCCAAAUGGAUAUUGAAUGCUUUCAGCUUCCAUUGGCCUCUGGGAUUUUGGAACUCAGUGCUUCUUAACCUCAGGCCUUCAGAAAGGAUUUAUUUUUCUUUUCAUUAUGCUCUUAGAGAUGUAGGGGUUUGUGCUUCUUUCCCCCUUCCCCUCUUUCCUCCCAGAACUUUAUGGAGGAACAGUUUUGAUUUCCUUGGUCAUAAAAACAAUUCCCUUGUUCUAUGCCCUGUGGUCAAAUGUAGCUUCAUAUGUUGGACAGCUGAUUGCAAGGAUUUCCUUCAAAAAAAUUUGUCAGCAAGCACAAUAUGUCCUGCAGCAUCCUGCCGUGUGGAAGGUGUGUAAAUGACAACAGCAAGACAUGCAGUUAAACAGGAAUUAACAGGAUUUCAGCAAAACAAGUAUGAAAGCAAUUUGGGAACAUCUUGAGACAGUUUUUACGUGGCUUUUAGAUAAAUGAGCAAAAAGAACUUGCAAAGGAACCUCUCAUCUGAUCAAAAAGACCUUUUGCUUUUCUGUGUAUAUUUUUGAGGGACAUAUAAAUGUGGUAAAGAAACAUUUUGAUAGCAAAGUCAAGAGGAAAAUGUAGCCAUAUCUACUGAGAUAUGUGUGUAUGACUGGUAGAUCCAAUAUGCAUUUGCCAUUGAAAGGAAAUAUAUCUGUCCAUAUUGCUGCCAAGCACCUAACAGUGCUUUAUAUUUUCCUCCUACUACAUGGACAGUGUCAUCUUCCUUCCCUAAACACUAUUCUUACUGGAGCAAAAGCCAUAUAACACAAAACCUCAAUAUAUGGAAGAUUUGAGUGGGGGAGGUAGGCACAGAUUUUUUUGAACAUUUUCUUCCAUUUUGCUUUUGAAUAUUAAAAACAUUGAAAUAAUUCUUUAUUUCCCCCAAUGUCCAUACAAGUCAUGCACUAUAACCUUCUACAUAUGUGGUCAAGUGGAGGAGCAGCUAACUUUGGCAAUUGUCCAGUUUUUCCAGACAAAACCAGGUUUUGCUUGUGCUUUGGGUAUGUCUGCUCCCAUAGAUGGUUCUGUAUCCCUUUUAGGCACUUGAAAAAAAUGGACCACUAAUUCACAGGUGGAAUAUUUUUAGCCUAGCUUGCUGUUGCUAACUCCAAAGAAUUUAGUCACUGAAAGGCCAAAAAUAUGGGAAGGGCUAAAAUCCAGGGUUAAAUGUCAAUCUUUUUUUAUGUCUACUUGUAUUGCUAUAUAUUAGUGGUAUCCUUUCAUGGAUUGUGGUGUACUGUAUGUUCAUGCUCACCCAGCAAUUAAUCUGUUGUGCAUGUCUGACAGCCCAGUCCUAAAAUCCUUUUUAAUAUGUCACAGUAUGGAAAGGCACAAUAAUGUGGGUUUGAUAUGUUUUAACUGUAUGGUCCUCCUGGGCAUGUAGGAUGUUGUAGCAGAUGGAUUUCAUGUAAAUAACAAGUAUAUUUAACCUAAAGAAAGAGGAAAAUAUGUCACCUCUCCACAUACCCCUACUUGCAAAGUAGAAGAAUUCUCCCUUGUUUUCCUAGUUCUAACUGGUCGAGAUACUUUUAGGAAACAGGUUAUUGUCUCAUUUUUAAUGCACAGUAUUCAGUGUGGCCUUAUUCAGGUGUAAAGGAAGAUGUCUCACAACUGACCUUAACAAACAAAAGGUGUGAUGUGAGACAAGUUGCAAGUGGAGGAAGAGAGGGACGAGAAGGAUGGGAGGGAAACACCAUGAAAUUAUUUAAAUGUUCCCCUUACAAACAAUGGAAAAUUAUAGUUGUCAUUGGUUGCACUUGCUUCAACCAUGAAGAGUUUCACUUGUACUUCAGCUAGGUUCCACAUCUUUUCCUUUUUCUCCUCCAUCACCUCUGCAUGACAUAUUCUGUCUCUUGUCCUGCUGUACAGAUGUGCUGCAUUAUCAGUCCAAAUUUGUUUUCCUGCUAUGUCAGGUACAUUUUUUCCCAUAUGUCAUGGGAUGGCUUAACUGAGGAUGGUGCUUCAACAUGUGUGCAGUGAAGGCUAGGAAAUGCCACAUUUCUACAGCAUUGGGUGUGCUUGCUCUGUUAUGAGUCAGGAAGAUUUGAGAAACUGAUGUAAUACACUAAAUAAAUGAUGUAUUACUCAA
This is a long non-coding RNA of Corvus hawaiiensis (hawaiian crow), 3161 nucleotides long. RefSeq lists it as uncharacterized. Lineage: Eukaryota; Metazoa; Chordata; Aves; Passeriformes; Corvidae. The transcript has 4 exons. The record is from RefSeq and is a predicted model, not a curated record.